CUAAGAAAGCUAGGCGUACGGGUGGGAGGCGUCCUAGGGUGGCAAACGAUGAGGAACGGAGGGAAGAGUCCUCCGCGCCGUCUCCUCCGGUUGCUCCGCCAACCGUGACCCCCUCCUGUGCGAAUCGCACAGUAACCACAGGUAGAUACAUCGAUUUUCAUUUCCUAGCUAGUGAGGGGUUCUCUAUUGGAGAGAGACUCCGUGCCCAAGGUUGGAAACACCUAUGUUCCCUAAAUAUAUCAACCUAUCCCGGCCUAAUGAGAGAAAUCUUU
Molecule: long non-coding RNA, 272 nt
Filed under: Phoenix dactylifera (date palm)
Lineage: Eukaryota; Viridiplantae; Streptophyta; Magnoliopsida; Arecales; Arecaceae
Description: long non-coding RNA (PDAC_LNC016183)
Source: RNAcentral